GAUGAACGCUGGCGGCGUGCCUAAUACAUGCAAGUCGAGCGAACAGAUGAGGAGCGUGCUCCUCUGACGUUAGCGGCGGACGGGUGAGGAACACGUGGAUAACCGACCUAUAAGACUGGGAUAAGUUCGGGAAACCGGAGCUAAUACCGGAUAAGAGAGUGAACCGCAUGGUUCAAUAGUGAAAGACGGUUUUGCUGUCACUUAUAGAUGGAUCCGCGCCGCAUUAGCUAGUUGGUAAGGUAACGGCUUACCAAGGCAACGAUGCGUAGCCGACCUGAGAGGGUGAUCGGCCACACUGGAACUGAGACACGGUCCAGACUCCUACGGGAGGCAGCAGUAGGGAAUCUUCCGCAAUGGGCGAAAGCCUGACGGAGCAACGCCGCGUGAGUGAUGAAGGUCUUCGGAUCGUAAAACUCUGUUAUUAGGGAAGAACAAAUGUGUAAGUAACUCUGCACGUCUUGACGGUACCUAAUCAGAAAGCCACGGCUAACUACGUG
Molecule: ribosomal RNA, 497 nt
Filed under: uncultured bacterium
Lineage: Bacteria
Description: partial 16S ribosomal RNA
Rfam family: Bacterial small subunit ribosomal RNA
Source: RNAcentral